Long non-coding RNA from Mizuhopecten yessoensis (Yesso scallop), 585 nucleotides. RefSeq lists it as uncharacterized. The record is from RefSeq and is a predicted model, not a curated record. The transcript is spliced from 3 exons. NCBI's taxonomy places the organism in Eukaryota, Metazoa, Mollusca, Bivalvia, Pectinida, Pectinidae.
AUGCGUCAAAGCGUAACACAUGACCUAUAUCUGUUACAUUUGUUAGUUAAAUCAACGAAUAAAAAACAUACGUAAAACAUACGUGCAUAUAUAUAGUUAGUCAUGUUGAAAGGAGUGAAAAUAGGACUAUAUAGAUAUAUGAUGGACAUACCCAUGUCUGUUAAAUGAACUGUUAAUACCAAAAAUCACUAAUACUCCAUUUCACCAACAUCCUACCUUCCAGGUACCAAGACCAACACAAGGUACCUGGUACCCACUGAGUAACGUCUGUUCCGGUAUAGCUGCCAUGAUGAUUAGUGUGGUAUGGCGUCGUCCUCAGCAAGUAUGGUUGGUUGGUGGAAGAGUUUACAUCUACACUCACUGACGAGGUACCAAGACCAACACAAGGUACCUGGUACCCACUGAGUAACGUCUGUUCCGGUAUAGCUGCCAUGAUGAUUAGUGUGGUAUGGCGUCGUCCUCAGCAAGUAUGGUUGGUUGGUGGAAGAGUUUACAUCUACACUCACUGACGAGGUACCAAGACCAACACAAGGUACCUGGUACCCACUGAGUAACGUCUGUUCCGGUAUAGCUGCCAUGAUGAUU